GAUGAACGCUAGCGGCAGGCCUAAUACAUGCAAGUCGAACGGGAUCUGAGGGUAGCUUGCUACCCGAUUUGAGAGUGGCGCACGGGUGCGUAACGCGUGAGCAACCUACCCAUAUCAGGGGGAUAGCCCGAAGAAAUUCGGAUUAACACCGCAUAAUAAUACGCAAACACACGUUGAUGUAUUUAAAUAUUUAUAGGAUAUGGAUGGGCUCGCGUGACAUUAGCUAGUUGGUAAGGUAAGGGCUUACCAAGGCGACGAUGUCUAGGGGCUCUGAGAGGAGAAUCCCCCACACUGGUACUGAGACACGGACCAGACUCCUACGGGAGGCAGCAGUAAGGAAUAUUGGUCAAUGGGCGCAAGCCUGAACCAGCCAUGCCGCGUGCAGGAUGAUUGCCCUAUGGGUUGUAAACUGCUUUUGUACGGGAAUAACCCUUUCUAUGUAUAGGAAGCUGAAUGUACCGUAAGAAUAAGGAUCGGCUAACUCCGUGCCAGCAGCCGCGGUAA
Molecule: ribosomal RNA, 504 nt
Filed under: uncultured bacterium
Lineage: Bacteria
Description: partial 16S ribosomal RNA
Rfam family: Bacterial small subunit ribosomal RNA
Source: RNAcentral